Molecule: long non-coding RNA, 377 nt
Filed under: Lepisosteus oculatus (spotted gar)
Lineage: Eukaryota; Metazoa; Chordata; Actinopteri; Semionotiformes; Lepisosteidae
Description: lncRNA (ENSLOCG00000022794.1)
Source: RNAcentral
UCCAGGAAGAAGAGACUCGGACUCACCUCGGCACACGGGUCGGUCUCCGCUCCGGUCCCCCAAGCCGUGGAAUUUCCUACAGCCGCCUUUUAAAGCCCAGAGACUGGAGCCCCUAAAUGAACCGAGUAAAUGAAUAUUGUACAGCUAAAAUGGGACUCCCGGUCUCCUCUCCUGCCGCCGGGACAGAGCGCACUCCAAGCUGAACCCCCCUGCAGUGGGACAGAGACGAAACGAUCACGAAACGAUUCUGAAAUGUGCCCGACAACUGUUUUUCUCCUGUGACCAGUUCUGGUUUGUACGCUUUGCUGUGCAUUGCAACAGUCUUUGGUUUGUACACCACAACUCUUAAUAAAAAAUCCUAACGUCUUUUUUUCCAU